CAGUGAUAAACUGGAGGAAGGUGGGGAUGACGUCAAGUCAUCAUGGCCCUUACGACCAGGGCUACACACGUGCUACAAUGGCGCAUACAAAGAGAAGCGACCUCGCGAGAGCAAGCGGACCUCAUAAAGUGCGUCGUAGUCCGGAUUGGAGUCUGCAACUCGACUCCAUGAAGUCGGAAUCGCUAGUAAUCGUGGAUCAGAAUGCCACGGUGAAUACGUUCCCGGGCCUUGUACACACCGCCCGUCACACCAUGGGAGUGGGUUGCAAAAGAAGU
RNAcentral lists this ribosomal RNA (275 nucleotides) under Escherichia coli. Its description in RNAcentral is "partial 16S ribosomal RNA". It matches the Rfam family "Bacterial small subunit ribosomal RNA", at positions 1153 to 1427 of the family's 1533-position model. The record is from RNAcentral. Lineage: Bacteria; Pseudomonadati; Pseudomonadota; Gammaproteobacteria; Enterobacterales; Enterobacteriaceae. RNAcentral also lists the same sequence under 4 other names.